Molecule: ribosomal RNA, 425 nt
Filed under: uncultured bacterium
Lineage: Bacteria
Description: bacterial SSU rRNA
Rfam family: Bacterial small subunit ribosomal RNA
Source: RNAcentral
AGAGUUUGAUCCUGGCUCAGGAUGAACGCUAGCGGCAGGCUUAAUACAUGCAAGUCGAACGGUAACAGGUGUAGCAAUACAUGCUGACGAGUGGCAGACGGGUGAGGAACACGUACGCAAUCUUCCUCUUACUGGGGCACAACCCGAAGAAAUUCAGGCUAAUUCCCCAUAACAUUGUGUGAGGGCAUCUGAGCACAAUUAAAACUCCGGUGGUAAGAGAUGAGCGUGCGUCUGAUUAGCUUGUUGGUGAGGUAACGGCUUACCAAGGCAACGAUCAGUAACUGGUGUGAGAGCACGACCAGUCACACGGGCACUGAGAUACGGGCCCGACUCCUACGGGAGGCACCAGUAAGGAAUAUUGGUCAAUGGACGCAAGUCUGAACCAGCCAUGCCGCGUGCAGGAUGAAGGCCCUCUGGGUUGUAAA